UGCUCUUGUAGCCCAAUUGGUAGAGGUGGCAGAUUUAAAAUCUGUUUAUGUGUGGGUUCGAGUCCCACCAAGAGCAUC
Molecule: transfer RNA, 78 nt
Filed under: Tolypothrix sp. NIES-4075
Lineage: Bacteria; Bacillati; Cyanobacteriota; Cyanophyceae; Nostocales; Tolypothrichaceae
Description: tRNA-Leu
Rfam family: tRNA
About the family: Transfer RNA (tRNA) molecules are approximately 80 nucleotides in length.
Source: RNAcentral